Molecule: ribosomal RNA, 402 nt
Filed under: uncultured bacterium
Lineage: Bacteria
Description: bacterial SSU rRNA
Rfam family: Bacterial small subunit ribosomal RNA
Source: RNAcentral
AAGUCUUCGGAUUGUAAAGUUCUUUUAUACGGGAAGAGAAGAAGACGGUACCGUAUGAAUAAGUCCCGGCUAACUACGUGCCGGCAGCCGCGGUAAUACGUAGGGGACGAGCGUUGUCCGGAAUUACUGGGCGUAAAGGGCAUGUAGGCUGUUUAUCAAGUCAGUAGUAAAAAGUUGAGGCUUAACCUUAACGAGCUAUUGAGACUGAUACACUGGAGUACUGAAGAGGCAAGGGGAAUUCCCAGUGUAGCGGUGAAAUGCGUAUAUAUUGGGAAGAACACCGGUGGCGAAGGCGACUUGCUGGUCAGUAACUGACGCUGAUGUGCGAAAGCCAGGGGAGCGAACGGGAUUAGAUACCCCGGUAGUCCUGGCUGUAAACGAUGAAUGCUAGGUGUGUGAGUA